AUUGAACGCUGGCGGCAGGCCUAACACAUGCAAGUCGAGCGGCAGCACAGUGAGGCUUUCCCCCUGGGUGACGAGCGUCGGGGGGGUGUGAAAUGUCCGUGAAACUCCCCGUUUUCGGGGGGUAACUAGUGGAAACGGUUGCGCUAAUCGCAUAUAGGCCCAACGGCAAAAAGCAGGACCUCUUCGCCCCUUGCCCGCAUGAAUGAGCCGAUGUCGGAUUAGCUAGGUGGCGGGGUAAGGGCUCACCGAGGCGACGCUCCGUAGCUGGUCUGAGAGGAUGACCAGCCACACUGGAACUGAGACACGGUCCAGACUCCUACGGGAGGCAGCAGUGGGGAAUAUUGCACAAUGGGCGCAAGCCUGAUGCAGCCAUGCCGCGUGUGUGAAGAAGGCCUUCGGGUUGUAAAGCACUUUCAGCGGGGAAGAAAAUGAGCAGGUUAAUACGUUCAUGUAUUGACGUUACUCAAAGAAGAAGCACCGGCUAACUUCGUG
RNAcentral lists this ribosomal RNA (492 nucleotides) under uncultured bacterium. RNAcentral describes it as "partial 16S ribosomal RNA". It matches the Rfam family "Bacterial small subunit ribosomal RNA", at positions 30 to 507 of the family's 1533-position model. The record is from RNAcentral.